Molecule: long non-coding RNA, 982 nt
Organism: Solenopsis invicta (red fire ant)
Lineage: Eukaryota; Metazoa; Arthropoda; Insecta; Hymenoptera; Formicidae
Exons: 5
Source: RefSeq, a predicted model, not a curated record
CAUGGUUCUCCAUGCCGUAAUGGUCAUCAUGACUCGUCAUCGUAACAGUGCAGUGUAGUUGAGUCAGUUGAGUGUAGUGGUCAUGGUCAGUGGUAAUGGUGUAAUACUUUGCAAGUGCCGUGUUCUUAUAUGUAAUAUUUUUACAUUGAAUUGGACUAUUUUGCAUAAUAUCGGAUCUCCGUGGAUAAAAAAAACCUCAGGAAUUUGUGGAAUAAUAUUGCCAAACAUUGGUAAAUUAGAACUUCUGGUUCAAAGGCUAUUACCAAGGUCGUAAAGUAUAAAGGAAAUUGUGGAAUAAUAUUGCCAAACAUUGGAAAAUUAGAAUUUCUGGUUCAACGGCUACUACCAAAGUCGUAGAGUAUAAAGGAAAUUGUGGAAUAAUAUUGCCAAACAUUGGAAACAAUACGAGAGCAAGCAUUUCAUACUUUAUUGUUGGCAGACCUCACAUAUUUUAUUUUAUAAGUUCUCUCGAAGAGGUGUAUGGACGGUGGUAAUUCCCUCGAUGAUUGUUCAGAAUUUUCCAUUUUGAUCGAUUUCGAUAAUAAAACCACAAAAACUGUAUCAAGCACAGAGCGGGCAGCAUGUCGCAACUUACAUCAAGCACAAACCAGCACAAAUUCGAAAGAAUUUCCGAUAUGUGAUUGAUUUUCGUCAGCGAGAUGCAUCGCGUAUGCAUAUGGGCGAAACAAUGAAACAACGAAGUCUUCCGUGAACACAACUGUGUGGCGGGCACAACUUUUUGAAACAGUAGUUCUCAACAAUUCUAAUACGAAUCCGAAAAAUAAUCAAUAUAAAGAAUUUUUUAAAAGAUUUUGCACAUAUCUUUUCAUUGUAGAUAAGAAUGUAUUUCGCAAUUUUUAUAUAUUUGUAUUUUUAAUUAUUUUUAGCUUCUUUAAAAAUUUGUUUGGAAUGACAGGUGGACGCCUGAUAUGAAACUCACAUACCAAUUUGAAUGGCAUUAUUUCAUUUGUAUCCAUUAUCA